CGCGUAGGCGGUUGAAUAAGUGAGAUGUGAAAUCCCUGGGCUUAACCUAGGAACUGCAUCUUAUACUGUUUGACUGGAGUACUGUAGAGGGUAGUGGAAUUUCCGGUGUAGCGGUGAAAUGCGUAGAGAUCGGAAGGAACACCAGUGGCGAAGGCGGCUACCUGGACAGAUACUGACGCUGAGGCGCGAGAGCGUGGGGAGCAAACAGGAUUAGAUACCCUGGUAGUCCACGCUGUAAACGAUGAGAACUAGAUGUUGGUAGGCUUGACCUAUUAGUAUCGAAGCUAACGCGAUAAGUUCUCCGCCUGGGGAGUACGGCCGCAAGGUUAAA
Molecule: ribosomal RNA, 331 nt
Filed under: uncultured Pseudomonadota bacterium
Lineage: Bacteria; Pseudomonadati; Pseudomonadota
Description: bacterial SSU rRNA
Rfam family: Bacterial small subunit ribosomal RNA
Source: RNAcentral